GGAGGUAUAGCUCUGUGGUAGAGUGCGUGCUUAGCACGCUAAGGUCCUGGGUUCAAUCCCCUGUACAUUCA
This 71-nucleotide transfer RNA is filed under the name Camelus bactrianus (Bactrian camel). It matches the Rfam family "tRNA". Rfam says of the family: Transfer RNA (tRNA) molecules are approximately 80 nucleotides in length. Their secondary structure includes four short double-helical elements and three loops (D, anti-codon, and T loops). Further hydrogen bonds mediate the characteristic L-shaped molecular structure. tRNAs have two regions of fundamental functional importance: the anti-codon, which is responsible for specific mRNA codon recognition, and the 3' end, to which the tRNAs corresponding amino acid is attached (by aminoacyl-tRNA synthetases). tRNAs cope with the degeneracy of the genetic code in two manners: having more than one tRNA (with a specific anti-codon) for a particular amino acid; and 'wobble' base-pairing, i.e. permitting non-standard base-pairing at the 3rd anti-codon position. The record is from Rfam by way of RNAcentral. Lineage: Eukaryota; Metazoa; Chordata; Mammalia; Artiodactyla; Camelidae. RNAcentral also lists the same sequence under 2 other names.